AGACCCGAAACCCGGUGAUCUAGCCAUGGGCAGGUUGAAGGUUGGGUAACACUAACUGGAGGACCGAACCGACUAAUGUUGAAAAAUUAGCGGAUGACCUGUGGCUGGGGGUGAAAGGCCAAUCAAACCGGGAGAUAGCUGGUUCUCCCCGAAAGCUAUUUAGGUAGCGCCUCGUGAAUUCAUCUCCGGGGGUAGAGCACUGUUUCGGCUAGGGGGCCAUCCCGGCUUACCAACCCGAUGCAAACUGCGAAUACCGGAGAAUGUUAUCACGGGAGACACACGGCGGGUGCUAACGUCCGUCGUGAAGAGGGAAACAACCCAGACCGCCAGCUAAGGUCCCAAAGUCAUGGUUAAGUGGGAAACGAUGUGGGAAGGCCCAGACAGCCAGGAUGUUGGCUUAGAAGCAGCCAUCAUUUAAAGAAAGCGUAAUAGCUCACUGGUCGAGUCGGCCUGCGCGGAAGAUGUAACGGGGCUAAACCAUGCACCGAAGCUGCGGCAGCGAACGUAUCACUUAAAGCGAUUCAGCGGGUUACGAUUGACGGAGCGAAGCGACGUCAAAGCGUAUACAAAGUCGAGUCGGUUUAAGGAUACGUUCGUUGGGUAGGGGAGCGUUCUGUAAGCCUGUGAAGGUGUGUCGUGAGGCAUGCUGGAGGUAUCAGAAGUGCGAAUGCUGACAUAAGUAACGAUAAAGCGGGUGAAAAGCCCGCUCGCCGGAAGACCAAGGGUUCCUGUCCAACGUUAAUCGGGGCAGGGUGAGUCGACCCCUAAGGCGAGGCCGAAAGGCGUAGUCGAUGGGAAACGGGUUAAUAUUCCCGUACUUGGUGUUACUGCGAAGGGGGGACGGAGAAGGCUAUGUUGGCCGGGCGACGGUUGUCCCGGUUUAAGCGUGUAGGUGUGUGUUCCAGGUAAAUCCGGUUCACUUUAACAC
This 928-nucleotide ribosomal RNA is filed under the name Salmonella enterica subsp. enterica serovar Idikan. RNAcentral's name for it is "partial 23S ribosomal RNA". It matches the Rfam family "Bacterial large subunit ribosomal RNA", at positions 711 to 1556 of the family's 2925-position model. Lineage: Bacteria; Pseudomonadati; Pseudomonadota; Gammaproteobacteria; Enterobacterales; Enterobacteriaceae. The record is from RNAcentral.